UACGUAGGGUGCAAGCGUUAAUCGGAAUUACGUGGGACGUAAAGCGUGCGCAGGUCGGUUUUAGUAAGUCUGAUGUAGAAACGGCCCCGGGCUCAACCGUGGGUAAUUGCAUUGGAGACUGCAAGGCUUGAAUCUGGCAGGAGGGGGGUAGAAUUCCACGUGUAGCAGUGAAAUGCGUAGAGAUGUGGAGGAACACCGAUGGCGAAGG
RNAcentral lists this ribosomal RNA (208 nucleotides) under uncultured bacterium. RNAcentral's name for it is "partial 16S ribosomal RNA". It matches the Rfam family "Bacterial small subunit ribosomal RNA", at positions 524 to 721 of the family's 1533-position model. The record is from RNAcentral.